Molecule: ribosomal RNA, 413 nt
Filed under: uncultured bacterium
Lineage: Bacteria
Description: bacterial SSU rRNA
Rfam family: Bacterial small subunit ribosomal RNA
Source: RNAcentral
GUGUCAGCCGCCGCGGUAAUACGUAGGGGGCGAGCGUUGUCCGGAAUUACUGGGCGUAAAGGGUGCGUAGGCGGCCCUUUAAGUCGGAUGUGAAAGCCCGCGGCUUAACCGCGGAAUGGCAUUCGAAACUGGAGGGCUUGAGUGUCGGAGAGGGUAGUGGAAUUCCCAGUGUAGCGGUGAAAUGCGUAGAUAUUGGGAGGAACACCAGUGGCGAAGGCGGCUUUCUGGCUCACAACUGACGCUCAGGCGCGAAAGCUGGGGGAGCAAACAGGAUUAGAUACCCUGGUAGUCCUAGCCGUAAACGAUGGGUACUAGGUGUGGGUGGUUUCGAUACCAUCCGUGCCGUAGUUAACGCAUUAAGUACCCCGCCUGGGGAGUACGUGCGCAAGCAUGAAACUCAAAGGAAUUGGCGG